CCCGCACAAGCGGUGGAGCAUGUGGUUUAAUUCGAAGCAACGCGAAGAACCUUACCAGGUCUUGACAUCCCGAUGCUAUUCUAGAGAUAGAAAGUUACUUCGGUACAUCGGUGACAGGUGGUGCAUGGUUGUCGUCAGCUCGUGUCGUGAGAUGUUGGGUCAAGUCCCGCAACGAGCGCAACCCCUAUUGUUAGUUGCCAUCAUUCAGUUGGGCACUCUAGCGAGACUGCCGGUAAUAAACCGGAGGAAGGUGGGGAUGACGUCAAAUCAUCAUGCCCCUUAUGACCUGGGCUACACACGUGCUACAAUGGUUGGUACAACGAGUUGCGAGUCGGUGACGGCGAGCUAAUCUCUUAAAGCCAAUCUCAGUUCGGAUUGUAGGCUGCAACUCGCCUACAUGAAGUCGGAAUCGCUAGUAAUCGCGGAUCAGCACGCCGCGGUGAAUACGUUCCCGGGCCUU
This 460-nucleotide ribosomal RNA is filed under the name uncultured Streptococcus sp. RNAcentral describes it as "bacterial SSU rRNA". It matches the Rfam family "Bacterial small subunit ribosomal RNA", at positions 920 to 1382 of the family's 1533-position model. Lineage: Bacteria; Bacillati; Bacillota; Bacilli; Lactobacillales; Streptococcaceae. The record is from RNAcentral.